AGAUCUGUUAUGAUGGAGAAAAGUAGGUUAUAGGAAGACUUACAGAGAAGAAAUGUCAAAGGCUGAGAGCAUUUCGAAGUUGUAAUGUAACCGAAGUUCGCUCUUGAACUAUAGAAUUGAAGUAGCAGUAGGUUCUAUCGGUCGACGCCGUUACGUCUAAGGAGUGGUUGAAAGCUUUUCAGCUAUUAGGGUGGUACCGCGGAGAAAUCUUCGUCCCUUUC
Molecule: non-coding RNA, 221 nt
Filed under: Geosporobacter ferrireducens
Lineage: Bacteria; Bacillati; Bacillota; Clostridia; Peptostreptococcales; Thermotaleaceae
Description: T-box sequence
Rfam family: T-box leader
About the family: Uncharged tRNA acts as the effector for transcription antitermination of genes in the T-box leader family. T-boxes are found upstream of many aminoacyl-tRNA synthetase genes and some amino acid biosynthetic genes usually in Gram-positive bacteria.
Source: RNAcentral